This 440-nucleotide ribosomal RNA is filed under the name uncultured bacterium. RNAcentral's name for it is "bacterial SSU rRNA". It matches the Rfam family "Bacterial small subunit ribosomal RNA", at positions 29 to 507 of the family's 1533-position model. The record is from RNAcentral.
AGCGAACGCUGGCGGCAUGCUUAACACAUGCAAGUCGCACGGGCGGGGGCAACUCCGUCAGUGGCGGACGGGUGAGUAACGCGUAGGAAUCUAUCCUUGAAUGGGGGACAACCGUGGGAAACUACGGCUAAUACCGCAUGAUGCCUGAGGGCCAAAGACGAAAGUCGUUUGAGGAGGAGCCUGCGUCUGAUUAGGUAGUUGGUGGGGUAAAGGCCUACCCAAGCCUACGAUCAGUAGCUGGUCUGAGAGGAUGAUCAGCCACAUUGGGACUGAGACACGGCCCAAACUCCUACGGGAGGCAGCAGUGGGGAGUAUUGGACAAUGGGCGCAAGCCUGAUCCAGCAAUGCCGCGUGGGUGAAGAAGGUCUUCGGAUUGUAAAGCCCUUUUGGCGGGGACGAUGAUGACGGUACCCGCAGAAUAAGCUCCGGCUAACUUCGUG